This 506-nucleotide ribosomal RNA is filed under the name uncultured bacterium. RNAcentral's name for it is "partial 16S ribosomal RNA". It matches the Rfam family "Bacterial small subunit ribosomal RNA", at positions 29 to 523 of the family's 1533-position model. The record is from RNAcentral.
AGUGAACGCUGGCGGUAGGCCUAACACAUGCAAGUCGAACGGCAGCACAGGAGAGCUUGCUCUCUGGGUGGCGAGUGGCGGACGGGUGAGGAAUACAUCGGAAUCUACUCUGUCGUGGGGGAUAACGUAGGGAAACUUACGCUAAUACCGCAUACGACCCACGGGUGAAAGCAGGGGAUCUUCGGACCUUGCGCGAUUGAAUGAGCCGAUGUCGGAUUAGCUAGUUGGCGGGGUAAAGGCCCACCAAGGCGACGAGCCGUAGCUGGUCUGAGAGGAUGAUCAGCCACACUGGAACUGAGACACGGUCCAGACUCCUACGGGAGGCAGCAGUGGGGAAUAUUGGACAAUGGGCGCAAGCCUGAUCCAGCCAUACCGCGUGGGUGAAGAAGGCCUUCGGGUUGUAAAGCCCUUUUGUUGGGAAAGAAAUCCAGCUGGCUAAUACCCGGUUGGGAUGACGGUACCCAAAGAAUAAGCACCGGCUAACUUCGUGCCAGCCGCCGCGGUAA